Molecule: ribosomal RNA, 653 nt
Filed under: Massilia sp. B2172_1
Lineage: Bacteria; Pseudomonadati; Pseudomonadota; Betaproteobacteria; Burkholderiales; Oxalobacteraceae
Description: bacterial SSU rRNA
Rfam family: Bacterial small subunit ribosomal RNA
Source: RNAcentral
GGCAGCGCGGGGCAACCUGGCGGCGAGUGGCGAACGGGUGAGUAAUAUAUCGGAACGUACCCAAGAGUGGGGGAUAACGUAGCGAAAGUUACGCUAAUACCGCAUACGAUCCAAGGAUGAAAGCAGGGGAUCUUCGGACCUUGUGCUCCUGGAGCGGCCGAUAUCUGAUUAGCUAGUUGGUGAGGUAAAGGCUCACCAAGGCCACGAUCAGUAGCUGGUCUGAGAGGACGACCAGCCACACUGGAACUGAGACACGGUCCAGACUCCUACGGGAGGCAGCAGUGGGGAAUUUUGGACAAUGGGCGAAAGCCUGAUCCAGCAAUGCCGCGUGAGUGAAGAAGGCCUUCGGGUUGUAAAGCUCUUUUGUCAGGGAAGAAACGGUGAGGGCUAAUAUCCUUCGCUAAUGACGGUACCUGAAGAAUAAGCACCGGCUAACUACGUGCCAGCAGCCGCGGUAAUACGUAGGGUGCAAGCGUUAAUCGGAAUUACUGGGCGUAAAGCGUGCGCAGGCGGUUUUGUAAGUCUGACGUGAAAUCCCCGGGCUCAACCUGGGAAUUGCGUUGGAGACUGCAAGGCUAGAAUCUGGCAGAGGGGGGUAGAAUUCCACGUGUAGCAGUGAAAUGCGUAGAGAUGUGGAGGAACACCGAUGGCGA